UAUGUGAUCGUCUCUCGCAUAUCAAUAAGCGGAGGAAAAGAAACUAACAAGGAUUCCCCUAGUAACGGCGAGUGAAGCGGGAAGAGCUCAAAUUUGAAAUCUUAAAGGGUUUCCCUUUACGAAUUGUAGUUUAAAGAAGUGUUUUCUGUUGAGGUUUUGGUAAAAGUUCUUUGGAAUAGGACAUCAUAGAGGGUGAGAAUCCCGUAUUUGACCUUUACUUUCAACUUUGUGAUACACUUUCAAAGAGUCGGAUUGUUUGGGAAUGCAGUCCAAAAUGGGUGGUAAAUUUCAUCUAAAGCUAAAUAUUGGCGAGAGACCGAUAGCGAACAAGUACCGUGAGGGAAAGAUGAAAAGAACUUUGAAAAGAGAGUUAAACAGUACGUGAAAUUGUCAAAAGGGAAGCGUUUGACACCAGUGUUGUUUUUCUGAAAAUCAAUUAAAGAACUGUUUAUGCUUAAGUUGUUUAGACUUUAUCAGCUAACUGUUUAGUUUUGAGCUUUUCUUUAAUGCACUUUUCAGUUAACAAGUCAACAUCAAUUUCUUUUGCUGUAAAAAAGCUUGAGGAAGGUGGCUUGAGAUUCGUCUUAAGUGUUUAUAGCCUCUUGCCUAUGCAGUCGGAGAGAUUGAGGUCUGCAGCGUAGAUCCUUCGGGGCUAAAUGCAUUUGUGCUAAGUUAUAGCAUUUUAUAGACAACUUGUUGACUAUGAUUUGUCUUGUAGCUUACUCGCUUAUGUUAUUUUACCUACGCUUAGGAUGUUGAAGACUCUACAGAGAUA
RNAcentral lists this ribosomal RNA (775 nucleotides) under uncultured Neocallimastigales. RNAcentral's name for it is "partial large subunit ribosomal RNA". It matches the Rfam family "Eukaryotic large subunit ribosomal RNA", at positions 24 to 633 of the family's 3401-position model. Lineage: Eukaryota; Fungi; Neocallimastigomycota; Neocallimastigomycetes; Neocallimastigales. The record is from RNAcentral.